Nerophis lumbriciformis (worm pipefish) is the source of this 863-nucleotide long non-coding RNA. RefSeq lists it as uncharacterized. Lineage: Eukaryota; Metazoa; Chordata; Actinopteri; Syngnathiformes; Syngnathidae. The record is from RefSeq and is a predicted model, not a curated record.
UGUGUGUGUGUGUUAGUGUGUGUGUACGUGUAUGUGUCUCAGUUCAACUGCUUGUUUACCCAUGCUGUCAUGUUAGCAGCUCGUGCAGCAGUCAGCAGGGGAGAGGCAGAAGUGGACCUGACAGACUGAACAUAACAAAGGAAUGUAUUUGGGAAGUUUCUGCCUCCAUCUUGAGUCGAAAGAAAUCUGAGGGGACCAACUUUCCUUGCAGCAGUCAAGCGCUGACAGCAAGCAGAGCGGUGUGACAAAAGGUGGCUGUGUGAACCUCUGCAGCGGCUAGACGGCAGCAUGUGUCCACACUGGUUUGUAGAUUUACAUCGAAGCGCUGGCCUGCACUGGAUCUCGAAGCGGGAGUCCAUCUGACACCAGAGGAUGUUUGAUCGUCUGUGUCCAGCCUGUGCCCUGUUGGUAUGUUGGCCAUUUGGAAUACUUUCCACUGUGCAGACUGGACGGCACAGAGGCUAUGAUAUUUUGUUAUUACUUUAAAUUUUAGACGAUAUAUUAAAGGCUAGAAAAACUGUACUAAUGCACAUAAUUUGUCUAUUUUGCUCUAUUUGAUACUAGUUAAUUUUAUUUUAUUCCCAGAAUGAGAAUGUUUUUUACACCAAUAUAAUACUUUUUAAUUAGAUUUUUUUUAUUACAUUUUUAUUAAUGUAUGUUUUUUCGUAACAGCCCACAUUAAGAAAUUUGAAUCAUUUUAAAAUAUCGAUGCUCGUCAAAAACUCAAUGUCAUUUAAACAAUACUUCUUUAUUCAACUUGAUUAAUGUAUUUCACAUUUUCACAUGAUUAUGAUUGGAAUUUCUCAUUUCUUUCACUGCAUUUAUGGCUACAUUUAGAAUUAUAUUUCCUUUUAGAAGCUAUC